This is a long non-coding RNA of Bufo bufo (common toad), 153 nucleotides long. RefSeq lists it as uncharacterized. The record is from RefSeq and is a predicted model, not a curated record. The transcript is spliced from 3 exons. Lineage: Eukaryota; Metazoa; Chordata; Amphibia; Anura; Bufonidae.
GCAGCAUGCCGGGGCUCCCUAUGGAGGAUGCGUGCAUGAGCGUACUAGUGAUAAGGUGCCGAGGAUAGUAGUACUCACGGUUUAGUUGUCCCUUGGGGCCGGCAGUGCAGUGGAUGGAAAGACAGUACAAAAUCCUCCUGGGCACUCUCUGUU